RNAcentral lists this ribosomal RNA (467 nucleotides) under uncultured bacterium. Its description in RNAcentral is "partial 16S ribosomal RNA". It matches the Rfam family "Bacterial small subunit ribosomal RNA", at positions 28 to 506 of the family's 1533-position model. The record is from RNAcentral.
GACGAACGCUGGCGGCGUGCUUAACACAUGCAAGUCGAACGGAAAGGCCCUGCUUUUGUGGGGUGCUCGAGUGGCGAACGGGUGAGUAACACGUGAGUAACCUGCCCUUGACUUUGGGAUAACUUCAGGAAACUGGGGCUAAUACCGGAUAGGAGCUCCUGCUGCAUGGUGGGGGUUGGAAAGUUUCGGCGGUUGGGGAUGGACUCGCGGCUUAUCAGCUUGUUGGUGGGGUAGUGGCUUACCAAGGCUUUGACGGGUAGCCGGCCUGAGAGGGUGACCGGCCACAUUGGGCCUGAGAUACGGCCCAGACUCCUACGGGAGGAAGCGGUGGGAAAUAUUGCACAAUGGGGGGAAGCCGGAUGCAGCAACGCCGCGUGCGGAAUGACGGCCUUCGGGUUGUAAACCGCUUUCGCCUGUGACGAAGCGUGGGUGACGGUAAUGGGUAAAGAAGCACCGGCUAACUACGU